UGGGGAAUAUUGCACAAUGGGCGCAAGCCUGAUGCAGCCAUGCCGCGUGUAUGAAGAAGGCUUCCGGGUUGUAAAGUACUUUCAGUCGGGAGGAAGGUGUCAAGGUUAAUAACCUUGGCAAUUGACGUUACCGACAGAAGAAGCACCGGCUAACUCCGUGCCAGCAGCCGCGGUAAUACGGAGGGUGCAAGCGUUAAUCGGAAUUACUGGGCGUAAAGCGCACGCAGGCGGUUGAUUGAGUCAGAUGUGAAAUCCCCGGGCUUAACCCGGGAAUUGCAUCUGAUAAUGGUCAGCUAGAGGCUUGUAGAGGGGGGUAGAAUUCCAUGUGUAGCGGUGAAAUGCGUAGAGAUGUGGGGGAAUACCGGUGGCGAAGGCGGCCCCCUGGACAAAGACUGACGCUCAGGUGCGAAAGCGUGGGGAGCAAACAGG
This 429-nucleotide ribosomal RNA is filed under the name Chloroflexota bacterium. RNAcentral describes it as "Chloroflexi bacterium partial 16S ribosomal RNA". It matches the Rfam family "Bacterial small subunit ribosomal RNA", at positions 355 to 776 of the family's 1533-position model. The record is from RNAcentral. Lineage: Bacteria; Bacillati; Chloroflexota.